GAUGAAGAACGUAGUGAAAUGCAAUACUUGGUGUGAAUUGCAGAAUCCCGUGAACCAUCGAGUUUUUGAACGCAAGUUGCGCCCGAAGCCGUUAGGCCGAGGGCACGCCUGCCUGGGUGUCACACAUCGUUGCCCCAAUGCCAAUCGCCUCACUUUGUAGGUAUUUGCUUGGGGUGAAUGUUGGCCUCCCGUGAGCUUUGUCUCACGGUUGGUUGAAAAUCGAGUGCAUGGUGUCGGGUGUACCAUGAUGGAUGGUGGUUGAGUGAUGAUGCUCGGUGACCCACAUGCGUCCCUUGGAUGCUCCCUAAGGAGACCUCAGGUCAGGCGGGGCUACCCACUGAGUUUAAGCAUAUCAAUAAGCGGAGGA
Molecule: unclassified non-coding RNA, 367 nt
Filed under: soil metagenome
Description: partial contains 5.8S ribosomal RNA, internal transcribed spacer 2, and large subunit ribosomal RNA
Rfam family: 5.8S ribosomal RNA (bases 1-122)
Source: RNAcentral